RNAcentral lists this ribosomal RNA (411 nucleotides) under uncultured Singulisphaera sp. RNAcentral's name for it is "bacterial SSU rRNA". It matches the Rfam family "Bacterial small subunit ribosomal RNA", at positions 354 to 776 of the family's 1533-position model. Lineage: Bacteria; Pseudomonadati; Planctomycetota; Planctomycetia; Isosphaerales; Isosphaeraceae. The record is from RNAcentral.
GUCGAGAAUCUUCGGCAAUGGGCGCAAGCCUGACCGAGCGACGCCGCGUGGAGGAUGAAGGCCUUCGGGUUGUAAACUCCUGUCGAGGGGGAGGAAGCUUCGGUUGACCGAUCCCUGGAGGAAGGACGGGCUAAGUUCGUGCCAGCAGCCGCGGUAAGACGAACCGUCCGAACGUUAUUCGGAAUUACUGGGCUUAAAGCGCGUGUAGGCGGCUCGGCACGUCUGGUGUUGAAAUCCCCCGGCUUAACCGGGGAAGUGGCACGGAUACGGCCGAGCUGGAGGGAGGUAGGGGGGUCUGGAACUUCCGGUGGAGCGGUGAAAUGCGUUGAGAUCGGAAGGAACGCCCGUGGCGAAAGCGAGGCCCUGGACCUUUUCUGACGCUGAGACGCGAAAGCCAGGGGAGCGAACGGG